Molecule: ribosomal RNA, 253 nt
Filed under: uncultured bacterium
Lineage: Bacteria
Description: partial 16S ribosomal RNA
Rfam family: Bacterial small subunit ribosomal RNA
Source: RNAcentral
UACGUAGGGUGCGAGCGUUGUCCGGAAUUACUGGGCGUAAAGAGCUCGUAGGUGGUUUGUCGCGUUGUUCGUGAAAACCGGGGGCUUAACCCUCGGCGUGCGGGCGAUACGGGCAGACUUGAGUACUGCAGGGGAGACUGGAAUUCCUGGUGUAGCGGUGGAAUGCGCAGAUAUCAGGAGGAACACCUGCGGUGUAGACGGCUUACUGGACGGUAACUGACGCUGAGGCACGAAAGCGUGGGUAGCAAACAGG